GGUAAGGGGUCAAGGAUCUCCUUGACGUCGAAGGCCGCGGCCGAGGCGACGAGGAGAAGAAGGAAGGGUAAGGGUUUGGAGGCCAUUUUAUCGAGAACAGCGGCCUUGGCCGUGUCUUCACCUCGGAGGGCUUCGGGAUGUCGUCCGAUUGAACAGAAGAGGCGUGAAGGGUAUAUAUAUGGAUAGAGAGAUAGACGCUCGCAGGACGUUGCCAACUUUGGAUGUGUUCGCCCGCGAUCAUGGAU
Molecule: long non-coding RNA, 245 nt
Filed under: Musa acuminata (dwarf banana)
Lineage: Eukaryota; Viridiplantae; Streptophyta; Magnoliopsida; Zingiberales; Musaceae
Description: long non-coding RNA (MACU_LNC005123)
Source: RNAcentral